GACGAACGCUGGCGGCGUGCCUAAUACAUGCAAGUCGAGCGAAGUUUUUCUGGUGCUUGCACCGGAAAAACUUAGCGGCGAACGGGUGAGUAACACGUAAAGAACCUGCCUCAUAGACUGGGACAACUAUUGGAAACGAUAGCUAAUACCGGAUAACAGCAUUAACUGCAUGGUUGAUGUUUAAAAGUUGGUUUUGCUAACACUAUGAGAUGGCUUUGCGGUGCAUUAGCUAGUUGGUGGGGUAAAGGCCUACCAAGGCGACGAUGCAUAGCCGACCUGAGAGGGUGAUCGGCCACACUGGGACUGAGACACGGCCCAGACUCCUACGGGAGGCAGCAGUAGGGAAUCUUCCGCAAUGGGCGAAAGCCUGACGGAGCAACGCCGCGUGAGUGAAGAAGGAUUUCGGUUCGUAAAGCUCUGUUGUUAGGGAAGAAUGAUUGUGUAGUAACGAUACACAGUAGAGACGGUACCUAACCAGAAAGCCACGGCUAACUACGUG
This 499-nucleotide ribosomal RNA is filed under the name uncultured bacterium. RNAcentral describes it as "partial 16S ribosomal RNA". It matches the Rfam family "Bacterial small subunit ribosomal RNA", at positions 28 to 507 of the family's 1533-position model. The record is from RNAcentral.